CCUACAAGCCUGUUUUGCAGGUUUCUCUGCUCUGAGAAACCUGUGAAACAGGCUUGUAGGGAUGAAAUAGCCUCUGUGUUUUUUCCUGACCUAACGUGAGAGUAUAUAUAUAUAAAAAAAAAAAAUAUA
Entelurus aequoreus (snake pipefish) is the source of this 129-nucleotide small nucleolar RNA. RefSeq annotates it as small nucleolar RNA SNORA17. The transcript has a single exon. Lineage: Eukaryota; Metazoa; Chordata; Actinopteri; Syngnathiformes; Syngnathidae. The record is from RefSeq and is a predicted model, not a curated record.